UACGUAGGGUGCAAGCGUUGCCCGGAGUACUGGGCGUAAAGCGCGUGUAGGCGGUGCCGCACGUCCGGUGUGAAAGCCCCGGGCUCAACCUGGGAAUGGCAGUGGAUACUGGCAAGCUAGAGUGCGAUAGAGGGGUGUGGAAUUCCCGGUGUAGCGGUGAAAUGCGUAGAGAUCGGGAGGAACACCGGUGGCGAAGGCGGGUCUCUGGGCCGAUACUGACGCUGAGGAGCGAAAGCGUGGGGAGCGAACAGG
RNAcentral lists this ribosomal RNA (252 nucleotides) under uncultured bacterium. RNAcentral describes it as "partial 16S ribosomal RNA". It matches the Rfam family "Bacterial small subunit ribosomal RNA", at positions 524 to 776 of the family's 1533-position model. The record is from RNAcentral.